AAUCGGGGACCAGCUUAUGGUUGCGCGAAAGAAGCUGACGGCGGCGGGGAGGAAGCUGACGGCGAGACUCGAAGCAAGAAGACCAGCCCGGGGACCUGCUGGUUCUGCCGCCGGAGACGAUGAGCGCAAGGAAGGCGCGCGACUGAGUGCGAGACGGUGACGAGACAGAGCGCGACGAUGAGGACCAGUAGGGACCUGCUGCCGCCGGCGACAACGAGCGCAGGGAAGGCGCGAGCGCGACUGAGUACGAGACUGGAGACGGUGAGAGAGACCGGAGACGAGAGUGGAAGAGAGCUUGAGUGCGAGAGCCAGUGAGCCACAGGGAGAGAGAUGAGAGAGCUCUAGCUUCAGUGAGCGAGUGACGAGAGGAAGGAGACGUUCAGGGCUGAAGAGAAACGACGUCGUAUGCUCGUAUCGAGUGGGGUGGAAAGGGGAAAUCCUAGUGGGAUUAUGGCCUUAUAUGGGUAUCGAUGGAGAGAAGGGUGGGACUGCGAGUGUUGAUGAUGAUGGGCUUUUCUUUCUAGUCAGGUUCUAUGACCAAAAAUAAAAGGCAAACAUCUCUUCACAUUUUUAGAUUUUUACAUAUCACAUGCCAGGUCCAGUGAUGUUUAGAAUUGACGGGGCUCUCUAAUUCAUUUGAUAAAAAACAUUACAGAUCCUCCAAUAUAAAAGAAAAAAAGCUUUGACAUAUCCGCAUUCACCACAUUUUAAAGGGAAAAGAAAAAGAACAAUUGGUUCAAAAGACUUUUAAAAAUGAAAGAACAACAAUAAGGAACCUACACAAUUACAAUCUUUCACAAAAAAGAAUGGAUCCUUCUUUUCAACAAAUGAGAAAAGAGAAAAAAAAAAUGAUUGCUCUACUUCUAGGGGCACUACUUCUAGAUACAUCUUAGAGCAAAGCAUAUCUAGUCAAACAUGACACAUCCACACGUGAUUUUCCAUUUGUAUGCCUGAUUGACAAAUCAAAAUCCUCGUAUCCUAAUCUAUCUCCCUCUUCCUUCCAGUAUGAACUCUCUCCAAUUUUUCUUGGGCAAGUGAAAGGAAGAAAAGGCCAUCAAUUCUAGAUUACAAAGAAUGGGGCAUGAUAACUAUGAUGUAGGAGAGAGCCCCUAUGAUGAUCCUUUUUUGAAGGGAUGUUGCUGCUGCCAUUGUUUUUGGGGCAUCUCUUCCAUUUUCAGUUGCAUUCAGAGAUGGUUCCUUUUGAUUUGUGACCCUUUCUUCAAGUGUUUUGGCAACAAUAAUGUUCUUGUUAUGCAUACAAGUUGUGUCAGUUAAAUAUAGUGUUUAUUAUUUAAGAAAUUACAUCAAAAUUCAGUGAUAAUAAAGUAGGUAAACAAAUGUUGAAAAAACAUUUAUCUGUGUACAUAGAUAUAAUAGAAAAUUUAAGCAAAGGCUAGCAUAAGCUUUUGGGUUUUUUAAGAGUUAUGCAGCAGGUUGUAUGAU
Molecule: non-coding RNA, 1443 nt
Organism: Arachis ipaensis
Lineage: Eukaryota; Viridiplantae; Streptophyta; Magnoliopsida; Fabales; Fabaceae
Source: RefSeq, a predicted model, not a curated record